This is a long non-coding RNA of Melospiza melodia melodia, 176 nucleotides long. RefSeq lists it as uncharacterized. The record is from RefSeq and is a predicted model, not a curated record. The transcript is spliced from 3 exons. NCBI's taxonomy places the organism in Eukaryota, Metazoa, Chordata, Aves, Passeriformes, Passerellidae.
GCACCACAGAGCAGAUCAACUGAAAACACCAGCUACCAGGAAACCUUGGGUAACAAAUUGGAUUUUAGCCAGCAGAACUGACAUCUGUCCUGUGGAGAGUGAAACCACACAGCACAGCAGCCUGGCACCUUUGUGUAAGGUGUACAGAGGACACACCCAGGAAGUUUGCCACCCCC